This is a non-coding RNA of Acanthosepion pharaonis, 97 nucleotides long. The record is from the annotation of a GenBank genome assembly. Lineage: Eukaryota; Metazoa; Mollusca; Cephalopoda; Sepiida; Sepiidae.
UUCAAACACCAGUUCCUGUACGAUCAUCAAAGUUAAGCAACUUGGAGGCUGGUGAGUACCGAGAUGGGUGGCUGCUUGGGAAUACCAGGUGCUGUAA